AAUGGUAACAGGAAACAGCUUGCUGUUUCGCUGACGAGUGGCGGACGGGUGAGUAAUGUCUGGGAAACUGCCUGAUGGAGGGGGAUAACUACUGGAAACGGUAGCUAAUACCGCAUAACGUCGCAAGACCAAAGAGGGGGACCUUCGGGCCUCUUGCCAUCAGAUGUGCCCAGAUGGGAUUAGCUAGUAGGUGGGGUAACGGCUCACCUAGGCGACGAUCCCUAGCUGGUCUGAGAGGAUGACCAGCCACACUGGAACUGAGACACGGUCCAGACUCCUACGGGAGGCAGCAGUGGGGAAUAUUGCACAAUGGGCGCAAGCCUGAUGCAGCCAUGCCGCGUGUAUGAAGAAGGCCUUCGGGUUGUAAAGUACUUUCAGCGGGGAGGAAGGGAGUAAAGUUAAUACCUUUGCUCAUUGACGUUACCCGCAGAAGAAGCACCGGCUAACUCCGUGCCAGCAGCCGCGGUAAUACGGAGGGUGCAAGCGUUAAUCGGAAUUACUGGGCGUAAAGCGCACGCAGGCGGUUUGUUAAGUCAGAUGUGAAAUCCCCGGGCUCAACCUGGGAACUGCAUCUGAUACUGGCAAGCUUGAGUCUCGUAGAGGGGGGUAGAAUUCCAGGUGUAGCGGUGAAAUGCGUAGAGAUCUGGAGGAAUAC
RNAcentral lists this ribosomal RNA (655 nucleotides) under uncultured Pseudomonadota bacterium. Its description in RNAcentral is "bacterial SSU rRNA". It matches the Rfam family "Bacterial small subunit ribosomal RNA", at positions 65 to 709 of the family's 1533-position model. Lineage: Bacteria; Pseudomonadati; Pseudomonadota. The record is from RNAcentral.